CUGCCAGACUCCUACGGGAGGCAGCAGUGGGGAAUAUUGCACAAUGGGGGAAACCCUGAUGCAGCAACGCCGCGUGAGUGAAGAAGUAUUUCGGUAUGUAAAGCUCUAUCAGCAGGGAAGAAAAUGACGGUACCUGAGUAAGAAGCCCCGGCUAACUACGUGCCAGCAGCCGCGGUAAUACGUAGGGGGCAAGCGUUAUCCGGAUUUACUGGGUGUAAAGGGAGCGUAGACGGCGAUACAAGUCUGAAGUGAAAGCCCGGGGCUCAACCCCGGGACUGCUUUGGAAACUGUGUUGCUGGAGUGUCGGAGAGGCAGGCAGAAUUCCUAGUGUAGCGGUGAAAUGCGUAGAUAUUAGGAGGAACACCAGUGGCGAAGGCGGCCUGCUGGACGAUGACUGACGUUGAGGCUCGAAAGCGUGGGGAGCAAACAGGAUUAGAUACCCGGGUAGG
RNAcentral lists this ribosomal RNA (449 nucleotides) under uncultured bacterium. RNAcentral describes it as "bacterial SSU rRNA". It matches the Rfam family "Bacterial small subunit ribosomal RNA", at positions 328 to 794 of the family's 1533-position model. The record is from RNAcentral.